This 501-nucleotide ribosomal RNA is filed under the name uncultured Staphylococcus sp. RNAcentral's name for it is "bacterial SSU rRNA". It matches the Rfam family "Bacterial small subunit ribosomal RNA", at positions 948 to 1449 of the family's 1533-position model. Lineage: Bacteria; Bacillati; Bacillota; Bacilli; Caryophanales; Staphylococcaceae. The record is from RNAcentral.
AAUUCGAUGCAACGCGAAGANCCUUNNCCAAGGCUUGACAUGUUCUCGAUCGCCGUAGAGAUACGGUUUCCCCUUUGGGGUGGGUUCACAGGUGGUGCAUGGUUGUCGUCAGCUCGUGUCGUGAGAUGUUGGGUUAAGUCCCGCAACGAGCGCAACCCUUAAGCUUAGUUGCCAUCAUUAAGUUGGGCACUCUAAGUUGACUGCCGGUGACAAACCGGAGGAAGGUGGGGAUGACGUCAAAUCAUCAUGCCCCUUAUGAUUUGGGCUACACACGUGCUACAAUGGACAAUACAAAGGGUAGCGAAACCGCGAGGUCAAGCAAAUCCCAUAAAGUUGUUCUCAGUUCGGAUUGUAGUCUGCAACUCGACUAUAUGAAGCUGGAAUCGCUAGUAAUCGUAGAUCAGCAUGCUACGGUGAAUACGUUCCCGGGUCUUGUACACNCCGCCCGUCACACCACGAGAGUUUGUAACACCCGAAGCCGGUGGAGUAACCAUUUGGAGC